Molecule: ribosomal RNA, 324 nt
Filed under: uncultured eukaryote
Lineage: Eukaryota
Description: partial 18S ribosomal RNA
Rfam family: Eukaryotic small subunit ribosomal RNA
Source: RNAcentral
CCCUUAGAUGUUCUGGGCUGCACGCGCGCUACACUGAAGCUAUCAACACGUUUUCCCUCCCUGAGAAGGGCGGGUAACCUUUUGAAUCAGCUUCGUGGUGGGGAUCGGGGCUUGCAAUUGUUCCCCGUGAACCAGGAAUUCCUAGUAGACGCGAGUCAUAAGCUCGCAUCGAUUAAGUCCCUGCCCUUUGUACACACCGCCCGUCGCUACUACCGAUUGAACGUUUUAGUGAGGCAUUUGGACCGACGCACCUCAGUUUAACCGCUGGUUUGUGUUGGAAAGACUUCCAAACUUGAGCGUUUAGAGGAAGUAAAAGUCGUAACA